CUACGGGGCGCAGCAGUGAGGAAUUUUGCGCAAUGGGGGAAACCCUGACGCAGCAACGCCGCGUGAGUGAAGAAGGUCUUCGGGUCGUAAAGCUCUGUCAAGUGGGAAAAAAGUCAUACGGUAAAUAGCCGUGUGAUCUGAUGGUACCACUAGAGGAAGCACCGGCUAACUCCGUGCCAGCAGCCGCGGUAAUACGGAGGGUGCAAGCGUUGUUCGGAAUUACUGGGCGUAAAGAGCGUGUAGGCGGUUUGGCAAGUCAGAUGUGAAAGCCCUGGGCUCAACUCAGGAAGUGCAUUUGAAACUGCCAUACUAGAGUAUGGGAGAGGAGAGUGGAAUUCCCAGUGUAGAGGUGAAAUUCGUAGAUAUUGGGAGGAACACCCGUGGCGAAGGCGACUCUCUGGACCAAUACUGACGCUGAGACGCGAAAGCGUGGGGAGCAAACAGGAUUAGAUACCCGGGUAGUC
Molecule: ribosomal RNA, 464 nt
Filed under: uncultured bacterium
Lineage: Bacteria
Description: partial 16S ribosomal RNA
Rfam family: Bacterial small subunit ribosomal RNA
Source: RNAcentral